GCUUUCAUUUCUGAAUCAGCAGUCACAGAACACAAGUCUGUGUGCAGGAACUGCAGUUGGAAAACAUGGAAAAAAACAAUGACAUGCCCAAAACCUUCCCAGGAGCUGUUCAGAAGUAGCUGGGCAGUGUCCCUGUCCCCCCAGGCUCUGCAGCAGCGAUGUGAAGUGACUGGAUUUGAGAUCUGCUCCCCAGCCUGCCCAUGCAGGGGCUCCCAGGGUCUGCUUUAAAUUCAGGGCCUGUAAGCACAGGGCACAGAAGGAGGGCUCAGGACAGUAAAUUGGAGACAUUUUCUCAAAAAGAAACCUGAACCACUACAACAACAAACACAGCCAAAACUAAACAAGUCAACAGCAAAAUCCCCUUGUUUCCCUUAUCCUGUGCCCUUCCUUCAGGCAGGAAGGUGGUCCUGAAGGUGAGGGAUCACCUCCAGCAUGAAAAUAAGGUUUCUACAUCUCUAGAGGAGUUGAAUGUUGACAGCAGUAAGGCAUGAGAUGUUACAUGUUACCAUUGAGGUACAGGAUGGAGUUUGGAAGAUCAGUGAUGUCCCAAGAUGAAAACGGCCUUGAGAUGGACAAAAUUAGAACGACUUUAGGCAUUGGGCCUAAAAUUCAUUAAAUUUAAGACUAAUUAGUGGACUUACAUAUCACAAAGCUUAGUACACAUGCACAAACCUGUGAGGUUAUCCAAAGGACAACGAGGAAGAGGAGAAGCCUUCACCAAAAGACCCCCAAAAGAAGACUGGAGACCCCCUAAGAACAAGUGGGGGAUGUGCUGUGAAGAAAAUGAUGUAAAGUAAAAAAAAAAAUCGGAAAUAGGAGGAAACUUACCAGAAACAUUAAUGAAUAUGUAUAAACAUAUAGUAUAUAAGUUUAGCUUGAAGUGCUUUGUUUUGUACAUGAGGCAGGGUGAGAAGCCCUCCCCGUACCCCAGUCGGUUUUGCUUAUGCUUUAAUCAUCCUUAAUUACUGGCAAAUUACAUAUAUAAAUUGUAUUUUUUUUAUUAAAUUGUUAAAUUUAUUAAAUUAAA
This is a long non-coding RNA of Parus major (Great Tit), 1027 nucleotides long. RefSeq lists it as uncharacterized. The transcript is spliced from 3 exons. Lineage: Eukaryota; Metazoa; Chordata; Aves; Passeriformes; Paridae. The record is from RefSeq and is a predicted model, not a curated record.